This 292-nucleotide ribosomal RNA is filed under the name uncultured bacterium. RNAcentral's name for it is "partial 16S ribosomal RNA". It matches the Rfam family "Bacterial small subunit ribosomal RNA", at positions 505 to 796 of the family's 1533-position model. The record is from RNAcentral.
GUGUCAGCCGCCGCGGUAAUACGUAGGGGGCAAGCGUUGUCCGGAUUUAUUGGGCGUAAAGAGCGUGUAGGCGGCCAAGCAGGUCCGCUGUGAAAACUCGAGGCUCAACCUCGAGAGGUCGGUGGAAACCGUUUGGCUAGAGUCCGGAAGAGGAGAGUGGAAUUCCCGGUGUAGCGGUGAAAUGCGCAGAUAUCGGGAAGAACACCCGUGGCGAAGGCGGCUCUCUGGGACGGUACUGACGCUGAGACGCGAAAGCGUGGGGAGCGAACAGGAUUAGAUACCCUUGUAGUCC